Lycium ferocissimum is the source of this 466-nucleotide long non-coding RNA. RefSeq lists it as uncharacterized. The transcript is spliced from 2 exons. Lineage: Eukaryota; Viridiplantae; Streptophyta; Magnoliopsida; Solanales; Solanaceae. The record is from RefSeq and is a predicted model, not a curated record.
CCCACCACCCAUCACCCACGACCCAAUUCCCCUUUAGAAAAAACAUCUACACAUCUUUGCACCCAAAUUCCUUUUCUCUGUCUCUCUAUAGUGUAUGGCCAGUUCAGCUUUAUCUCUUUCUGUGCAUCAAUUCUUCUUCCCAUGUCCACAAUGUUGUAGUAAUUGGAAGAGCAACUCCUCCUCUUCUUUCUUUUUCUCAAAUGGAGAUAAGCGUUCUCUCACUUGCUUUUCAUCCAAGAAAAAAAUAGGCUUCAUGGACCAAAUUCUUGAUUACAUUGAAGCCGAGUGAUGCAGCUAGCGGAUCCAUGGAUGCAAGAUUUUCUAACUCUAGUAAUCAUGUAAUAUGAUUAGUUGACUAAAGUGAAUUUGUGACGAUUUCAGUUGAUGACAUUUACUUGUCUUAGUAUUUUGUAGUUUAAUGGAACGUUGAUAUUUCUCAAUUUUGAUAUUCUGGUUUAGUGUUAAA